CCUACGGGAGGCAGCAGUGAGGAAUAUUGGUCAAUGGGCGAGAGCCUGAACCAGCCAAGUCGCGUGAGGGAGUACUGCCCUAUGGGUUGUAAACCUCUUUUGUCGGGGAGCAAAAGCCGGACGUGUCCGGCUGUGAGAGUACCCGAAGAAACAGCAUCGGCUAACUCCGUGCCAGCAGCCGCGGUAUUACGGGGGAUGCGAGGGUUAUCCGGAUUUAUUGGGGUGAAAGGGUGCGUAGGCGGUUUUUUAAGUCAGCGGUAAAAUCGUGGGGCUCAACCCCAUCCAGCCGUUGAAACUGGGGAUCUUGAGUGUGCGAGAGGUAUGCGGAAUGCGUGGUGUAGCGGUGAAAUGCAUAGAUAUCACGCAGAACCCCGAUUGCGAAGGCAGCAUACCGGUGCACAACUGACGCUCAGGCACGAAAGCGUGGGUAUCGAACAGGAUUAGAUACCCCGGUAGUC
Molecule: ribosomal RNA, 458 nt
Filed under: uncultured bacterium
Lineage: Bacteria
Description: partial 16S ribosomal RNA
Rfam family: Bacterial small subunit ribosomal RNA
Source: RNAcentral